AGCAUCUUGCAUGUUCGGACUGUUGGUUCGCGCUCAUGCUUAACACUGAGUGAAUGAACUGAGGUGGCAUACUGGGGACACGGCCUGUGCCCAGCCAGGACUGACCUCUUCAGGCCUCCAAUUCUGGCUCAGAGCAGCAGAGACCAAUUUCAUGAAGGCCUUCAUCUGGACAAGGGCUCACGGGACCCAACCCUGCUUUCUUGGCCUGCCCAGACUAUGAAGGGACAGUCCUCCCAGCUGCUUCUGGCCCCUACUCAGGGGCGCACAUCCUCCAUGCCCACCUACCCCCACAUGCCACAAGGGUUCUCCCCAGAGUCCUGCCCUCAACCAUAAUGAAUGGAGGAAUGAACACGGCCGAGGUCCUGGAUUCUUUCUCGGCCACUUCUCUGCCAGUGUGUCAUUUCUGCAAUGGGUGGAGCUUCUGCAGAGAGAAGGUGGUGGGCCAAAGGCAGAGCCCCAGCCCCAUCCCGAUCCCCAGAGGGACCUCAGAAUUGUUGGUUUUUCCACGGGCCGCCUCCGGGACAAUGACUUUUGCUCAGCUGGUACCCUGAAGCAUCCCCUCCAAUCUCCGUGAUGUCUGUUUCAAACUACAAAAUGCUGGACUUGGCUGCCCCCCCCCCUCUAUUUACCAAGAAAGUUCUAGCGGAUGGCAUUCCACACAUCUCUCUACCAAACCUAGACUGUUGCCCUUCGGGGAUGGCCACAGAAGCUGAAAUACACUCCAGAGCUCUGUUUGCUUCAGGGGGUGGGGGCCACAUUCAGAGCCCAUCUUUCCUCCUCCAAGCCAGACCGGGAUUCCAGCAUCGGGAUCCCACUUUCCCCUGCUUCUUCAGUUGUGGAAAGGCUGGAGGGCAUCCUCUGAAAUGCAUCCAGUCUUUGGCAAGAGAAGAAAGGAGGCAAAAACCAGUUUCUGAGCCACAGGCAGACCCCCAUCAUCUUCUCAAUGAAGAACUUGUAAUUGAUGGUGUUGACAUGAGGUCCUACAGGAAAAUGCCCUCUGCCCACUGGGGCUCCCAGCCAUGCCCAGAAGGCUCCAUGAUGUCAGCUGCAAAACAGUCAACAAUCACAUGUACCCACCCCUAAACACUGAGACCCUAAAGUGACUCUUGUAAUCCAAGAGAUGAGUUUUGGCCCCAAUCUAGGCCAAUAUCCUUCGACUUCCCCCUCUUUCCCCUGAACAGACUUCGACGAGGGCUUUCUCUUGAUCAGCUCUCCCCAGAUCCUCACAACCUCCAGGACCCUCCGUUUGAAAGUGGAGCCCAUUGUCCUGGUUCUCUCCCCUCUUGAUUGUUACUUACAGUGGAGACUUGUUCGGACACUUCUGGAAACACAAACAUAAUCAGGUAAUUUUCCACCCAUAAUAUAUAGAGUAAUGGUCUCUCCUAUCUUUUGUGAAAUUCCUCUAAAAUGUUUCAACAAAGAGAAUAAUUUUAGUGAAUGGAUUUUCAUAUUAGAGGUCUUGACGGUGUCGAGAAAUUAUUUGUUCUUUUUACGUUAUUAAUAUUGGUGAGUCUAGCUUAAUGUGGCUACACAAUUUUCUAAUCCAAAAAGCUGCCUGUGGAGGUCAGGCUGACCUCAGAAAAGCUCCUGGGAAGACUAUUGGGUCGAAGGAAUGCUUUGGUAACACAAUGCUGCUUUGGGGUGCUCCCAAAGCUCGUGUUUUGCAUUCCCCAAAUUAGAUUGCCUGACUUGCUUAUGUACAUCUCAAUAUGCCCUUCUCUUGGAGCCUACCUCUUGCCUAUGGGAAGCCAGUUGGGCGAAUGUCCUUUUUUCCUUGUCCUCACUCAAUAAAAUGGAACCUUACACAGAUUCCCGGAGCA
This is a long non-coding RNA of Monodelphis domestica (gray short-tailed opossum), 1820 nucleotides long. Lineage: Eukaryota; Metazoa; Chordata; Mammalia; Didelphimorphia; Didelphidae. The record is from Ensembl.